RNAcentral lists this long non-coding RNA (1215 nucleotides) under Eptatretus burgeri (inshore hagfish). RNAcentral describes it as "lncRNA (ENSEBUG00000017263.1)". Lineage: Eukaryota; Metazoa; Chordata; Myxini; Myxiniformes; Myxinidae. The record is from RNAcentral.
AGUGCAGUGGGCGCGGACUUGGGGUCGUGCUGGGUGGGGGAGAGGGAAAAUACAGUGUUAUUAGUUCAGGAAGAACGGACAGUAAAAUGAAGCAGCGAGGAAUUGGAAGAUGGAUUAAGGAGCCUUGCAGUGAAGAAAGCGACGAGUAGAAGAACUUUUGACGAAGCAACAAGUGGCGACCAAAUUGCCGAAAGGUAUUUGGGUGUUUCGCUUCCUUCGCUUCGUGGUGAUUCGAGUUGCCAUUUGAUUGCUGCUGCUGCAGCUCCACGUGAUCGAUCGUACAAGCACGAAGGGAAAGGUCGUUGUGUUCGCGGAUAAAGGAUUUCCUGCGUGGAGGUUUACAGUUAAAUCUCGUGUGCUCCGUUCGUCGUCGGGGUGGUCCGAGCCCCGAGGUGACUUUCGGGGUUCCCGGUCGUCACACGUCACCGUGUGGUUACAAGGGUAAUCGCGACACGACCCUUUGAGUUGUCUGGUCACGAAGUUCAACCAAACUCGGUGACGCAGUUACGUAACGGUUGGUUGGACCGUUGGAGGAUCCGCUCUGAGUCCGGGGGGGGGGGGAGGUGGUUCGAACCCCGGACGAGUCGUACAAAAGGAUUUAAAACAUGCUGGUGGCAACGAUUUCGUGUUGUGAAGAUGAACACCAACCAAUGUGCUGUAGUUGUCGUGGUCUAGUGUGAAGAAAAGGAAUGCAAGUGAUUCCAAUACCUCCACAUAAAGUACAAAGUUUUUCUCUCUGUGUCACCUGACAAAGAUGAGUUUGAGGAUCUCCACUCUACCAUGUCCCAAUACUGAAAGGAAUAGAAUACUCCAUGAUGCAACACUGCACAGCUCUCUUCUCCGAGUGACUGUGAAAUCGAACCUCGAAUAAUGAUGUCUCAAAGGUUUGCUUUCCUCUCCAUUGUCCUCUUUUGAUUUGUACAUUUCCACUGCAAAUCCCCCUUCCUGAAACCACUUUGUUCCCAUUCAUCGUUAAUCUCCCUCCUUCUCCUCCCCUAUAUUAUUUCCCCCAUUCUUCCUGCCCGUCCGUGUCCGUUCUGUUUCUCUUUCUGUUCUUCAACACUGCUUUUCUGUUCGAGCCAGAGCCUGUCAUUACCCUGUGGUGCUCGCCAGACUCCCCAGCAUGUUUGCUCAUCCUGCGCAGCUUUUGGAGAGAAGAGGUUUUGACCAUGACAUGUCACAAUCUUGGGAUGAGCUGCGUAGAGGGGGGGGGGG